AACCAUGAUAUUAUAUACUAAGUUUAGCUUUAGUGUAAUAAUUACAUGUUUUACACUACAUAUUGUCAGAAUCUUAUGAUGUCGUUUACACUGAAUUUGGAGGUAAUGCAAUAAUGAAAUUAUAUACUGAAUUUGGAGGUAAUGCGAUAAUGUCACUAUAAACUGAAUUUGAAGACAGUGCAAUGAUGACAUGAACUGAAUUUGGAUAUAAUGCAAUAAUGAGACAUUAUAAACUGAAUCUGGAGGUAAUGUCACAAUGCCAUUAAAUACUGAACUUGGAGGUGGUGUAAUAAUGACAUUACCUGUGGAUUUGGAGGUAAUGCAAUAACGACAUCAUAUACUGAAUUUGGAGGUAAUACACUAAUGACAUUAUAUACUGAAUUUGGAGGUAAUACACUAAUGAUAUUAUAUACUGAAUUUGGAGGUAAUGCAAUAAUGACAUUAUAUACUGAAUUUGGGGUAAUACAUUAAUGACAUUAUAUACUGAAUUUGGAGGUCAUGCAAUAAUGACAUUAUAUACUGAAUUUGGAGGUAAUGCAAUAAUAACAUUAUAUACUGAAUUUGGAGGUAAUACAAUAAUGACAUUAUAUACUGAAUUUGGAGGUAAUACACUAAUGACAUUAUAUACUGAAUUUGGAGGUAAUGCAAUAAUGACAUUAUAUACUGAAUUUGGAGGUAAUACAUUAAUGACAUUAUAUACUGAAUUUGGAGGUAAUACAAUAAUGACAUUAUAUACUGAAUUUGGAGGUAAUGCAUUAAUGACAUUAUAUACUGAAUUUGGAGGUCAUGCAAUAAUGACAUUAUAUACUGAUUUUGGAGGUAAUGCAAUAAUGACAAUAUAUACUGAAUUUGGAGGUAAUGCAAUAAUGACGGUAUGGUGUAAUGAUGCCACUGUACACUUAAUCUUUGGGUAAUGUGAUGAUGUCAUAACCUGAAUGUGUUGACGUGAAAAUGACACUAUGCACGCCGUUUGAUGGUAGUGUAAUGGUAACACUACAUACAUGUACAUACUAUAGCUAUAGAUCUGGAUUCAGUUACCUUCGGUCACAUUGUUCUGUGAUGGUUCCAGCAUGUCUACCCUGCCUUUCCUUGUGCUAGGAUUUGGUAAUAAGAACAAUCCACAGAUCUGAUCGUUUACUAACUAGAUAUAUUUUAUGUUCGCUUCGUUUUGGUUGCGUGAUUCUCGCCAAAAAGGCAUCACAAUGAUCUGUCGCUUUACUUGUAAAACUAUUUGCAUUUACACUGCUGCAUCUAGUCUGAUGAUUGUCAUAGAUCUGAGUUAUUUCACAAUUGUUAGUUCAUAGUAAACAUAUAUAUAU
Molecule: long non-coding RNA, 1319 nt
Organism: Haliotis rubra (blacklip abalone)
Lineage: Eukaryota; Metazoa; Mollusca; Gastropoda; Lepetellida; Haliotidae
Exons: 3
Source: RefSeq, a predicted model, not a curated record